RNAcentral lists this ribosomal RNA (320 nucleotides) under uncultured Prevotella sp. Its description in RNAcentral is "bacterial SSU rRNA". It matches the Rfam family "Bacterial small subunit ribosomal RNA", at positions 28 to 339 of the family's 1533-position model. Lineage: Bacteria; Pseudomonadati; Bacteroidota; Bacteroidia; Bacteroidales; Prevotellaceae. The record is from RNAcentral.
GAUGAACGCUAGCUACAGGCUUAACACAUGCAAGUCGAGGGGCAGCAUGGUCUUAGCUUGCUAAGGCCGAUGGCGACCGGCGCACGGGUGAGUAACGCGUAUCCAACCUUCCCUAUAGUAGGGGAUAGCCCGUAGAAAUGCGGAUUAAUACCCUAUGUUGUAUUUUGAUGACAUCUGACGAAUACCAAAGGUUUACCGCUAUAGGAUGGGGAUGCGUCCGAUUAGCUUGACGGCGGGGUAACGGCCCACCGUGGCUACGAUCGGUAGGGGUUCUGAGAGGAAGGUCCCCCACACUGGAACUGAGACACGGUCCAGACUCC